AAGAAGUAAAAUUAAUAUUUCGUCCAUAACAAUAUAAUAUUAUAUUGUCGCAAGACUAACCUGAACUUGCAGCCUCAUGAAAUAAGUAUAGAGGCGUAGUUGUCCUUCCACCUUCUACAUGCAUACCUUUCUAUCUUGCAAGUUUCUCAUGCAUCGCCAAAACAUAUCCAAGUAAAUGAUAAACAAAUUGCAACAGAAAAAAAAAUGAUUGACAAUAGCACACAAAUUUCAGUAAACCCAAGCACCAAUCCAGACUCUACACAAUCCAGGAACUUAUAACCCAGCAAAACUAUUCUUUUCUUCUUCCCCCCUUUUCCAUCCCGCAGCGCAUUUGACUCGGCAUCAAUUAAAUAAAAAGUUUUACCGCAAAAUCCUAGUAGAAC
This 383-nucleotide long non-coding RNA is filed under the name Manihot esculenta (cassava). RNAcentral's name for it is "long non-coding RNA (MESC_LNC010855)". Lineage: Eukaryota; Viridiplantae; Streptophyta; Magnoliopsida; Malpighiales; Euphorbiaceae. The record is from RNAcentral.